GAUGAACGCUGGCGGCGUGCCUAAUACAUGCGAGUCGAGCGAACGGACGAGAAGCUUGCUUCUCUGAUGUUAGCGGCGGACGGGUGAGUAACACGUGGAUAACCUACCUAUAAGACUGGGAUAACUUCGGGAAACCGGAGCUAAUACCGGAUAAUAUUUUGAACCGCAUGGUUCAAAAGUGAAAGACGGUCUUGCUGUCACUUAUAGAUGGAUCCGCGCUGCAUUAGCUAGUUGGUAAGGUAACGGCUUACCAAGGCAACGAUGCAUAGCCGACCUGAGAGGAGGAUCGGCCACACUGGAACUGAUACACGGUCCAGACUCCUACGGGAGGCAGCAGUAGGGAAUCUUCCGCAAUGGGCGAAAGCCUGACGGAGCAACGCCGCGUGAGUGAUGAAGGUCUUCGGAUCGUAAAACUCUGUUAUUAGGGAAGAACAUAUGUGUAAGUAACUGUGCACAUCUUGACGUUACCUAAUCAGAAAGCCACGGCUAACUACGUG
This 497-nucleotide ribosomal RNA is filed under the name uncultured bacterium. RNAcentral's name for it is "partial 16S ribosomal RNA". It matches the Rfam family "Bacterial small subunit ribosomal RNA", at positions 28 to 507 of the family's 1533-position model. The record is from RNAcentral.